RNAcentral lists this ribosomal RNA (504 nucleotides) under uncultured bacterium. RNAcentral describes it as "partial 16S ribosomal RNA". It matches the Rfam family "Bacterial small subunit ribosomal RNA", at positions 30 to 523 of the family's 1533-position model. The record is from RNAcentral.
AUUGAACGCUGGCGGAAUGCUUUACACAUGCAAGUCGAACGGCAGCACGGAGAGCUUGCUCUCUGGUGGCGAGUGGCGAACGGGCGAGUAAUAUAUCGGAACGUGUCCAAUAAUGGGGGAUAACGAGUCGAAAGAUUCGCUAAUACCGCAUACGCCCUACGGGGGAAAGCAGGGGAUCGUAAGACCUUGCGUUAAUGGAGCGGCCGAUAUCUGAUUAGCUGGUUGGUGAGGUAAAGGCUCACCAAGGCGACGAUCAGUAGCUGGUUUGAGAGAACGACCAGCCACACUGGAACUGAGACACGGUCCAGACUCCUACGGGAGGCAGCAGUGGGGAAUUUUGGACAAUGGGGACAACCCUGAUCCAGCCAUUCCGCGUGAGUGAAGAAGGCCUUCGGGUUGUAAAGCUCUUUCGCAAGGGAAGAAAACUUAUGAUCGAAUAAAUCAUGAGGUUGACGGUACCUUGAUAAGAAGCACCGGCUAACUACGUGCCAGCAGCCGCGGUAA